UACGUAGGGUGCGAGCGUUGUCCGGAAUUAUUGGGCGUAAAGAGCUCGUAGGCGGUGUGUCACGUCGGCCGUGAAAACCUGCAGCUUAACUGUGGGCGUGCGGUCGAUACGGGCAUCACUGGAGUUCGGCAGGGGAGACUGGAAUUCCUGGUGUAGCGGUGAAAUGCGCAGAUAUCGGGAAGAACACCCGUGGCGAAGGCGGCUCUCUGGGACGGUACUGACGCUGAGACGCGAAAGCGUGGGGAGCGAACAGG
This 254-nucleotide ribosomal RNA is filed under the name uncultured bacterium. RNAcentral describes it as "partial 16S ribosomal RNA". It matches the Rfam family "Bacterial small subunit ribosomal RNA", at positions 524 to 776 of the family's 1533-position model. The record is from RNAcentral.